UUUAACAAUCAGUUUUAGACCAUACCCAGUGCGAGGCUGGGGUGCUCUGGAAGGCCAGAGGGCUGUUCUGCAGGGUAAAGGGGGUGGUCUGGAGGGUAGAGGGGGUGGUCUGGAGGGUAGAGGGGGUGGUCUGGAGGGUAGAGGGGGUGGUCUGGAGAGCCAGUGGGAUGUUCUGGACGGUAGAGGGGGUGGUCUGGAGGGUAGAGGGGGUGGUCUGGAGGGUAGAGGGGGAGGUCUGGAGGGUAGAGGGGGAGGUCUGGAGAGCCAGCAGGAUGUUCUACAGGGUAAAGGGGAUGGUCUG
Long non-coding RNA from Brienomyrus brachyistius, 301 nucleotides. RefSeq lists it as uncharacterized. The record is from RefSeq and is a predicted model, not a curated record. The transcript is spliced from 3 exons. NCBI's taxonomy places the organism in Eukaryota, Metazoa, Chordata, Actinopteri, Osteoglossiformes, Mormyridae.